This 77-nucleotide transfer RNA is filed under the name Planctomycetota bacterium. RNAcentral's name for it is "Planctomycetes bacterium (bioreactor metagenome) tRNA-Asp". It matches the Rfam family "tRNA". Rfam says of the family: Transfer RNA (tRNA) molecules are approximately 80 nucleotides in length. Their secondary structure includes four short double-helical elements and three loops (D, anti-codon, and T loops). The record is from RNAcentral. Lineage: Bacteria; Pseudomonadati; Planctomycetota.
GGGGGUGUAGCUCAAUUGGUUAGAGCGUCGGCUUGUCACGCCGAAGGUUGCGAGUUCAAGUCUCGUCACCCUCGCCA